AUGGCGACCGAGGGCAUGCUCCAUGGCGGAGUAAUCCCUUUCUCCUCCAGUCCUGGGUCUCCCAGAUCAUCUGUCCCCUUCAAGGUCCAACAUGAAACUGAAAGAAACACUGAGCAUCCCAGAGUAGAGAGUGGCUCCCGUGUUCUUCAAUCGUUGGAUCAAAACAUCCUAGCGCAGCCUACGCGUCCAAGCUCUGUUCUUCUGCGAGCUUCAAGCAUUCCUCAACCGGAUGGGUCAUCUGAUUGCGCGCAGAACUGUGUGUCUGGCACAAGCCAACUCGUCGUCCCCGGCUGGAAUAAAAGGAACAUCGGUGUUGAGGGUCCUGAUUCCCGAGUUACACCUUCUAAAAUGUCUGCAAUCGAAGAGCGUCUCUUGCAAUUAAAGGACCGCACGGGUGAUGCAAUAUUUGAGCCUACAGCAGGCACAACUUUCGACUCUAGCCAGGAAGCAUACGAUUUCUAUAAUUUGUAUUCAGGGAGUGUGGAUUUGGCAUCCGUCGCGCAAAAAGUCGCACCAACACAAACAAAUACAGGAGCAUGCAUGAACUCUGUGUUAAUGCGCGGGCAAGCCCAAAAGGGAGAAUGCAUCAUCUUGCAAGACUGA
RNAcentral lists this ribosomal RNA (603 nucleotides) under Triticum aestivum (bread wheat). Its description in RNAcentral is "partial small subunit ribosomal RNA". Lineage: Eukaryota; Viridiplantae; Streptophyta; Magnoliopsida; Poales; Poaceae. The record is from RNAcentral.